CGCUUUUAGUUUAAAUUUUAAAACAUAUUCGAGGUGGUACUAAAGCGUUAUUACUAAUAAAGAGGUUAUUGGUUUUCGUCUGUAUAAGUCGCUAAGUUUCUUCCGUCCGGCCCGCUUGACUGGGCCGUGUUGAUCGUUCCCUGUCAACCGCGUGAUGACUGAACUGGGCCUGGUCAACACUUCCCCUCCUACGCCAGAGAGCUUUCCCCCGCGGGCCGCGCAGGCAACUCCUCCUCCUCCUCUACCUCCGCCUCCCUGCGUCGCUCGCCGGGCCCGAGGACGACGACGAGCCCUUCCUGGAAGAGGAGGAGGAGGGCACCGUCGAGCUCGUGCAGCUCGGCGCCAACCACGGCAAGAACGUCCUCAUCCUCACGAGCGACACCGGCGGGGGUCACCGCGCCUCCUCCGAAGCCAUCAAGGACGCCUUCGGCGACGACUACCGAUCUUCGUCAAGGAUCUCUGCAAGGACCACGCCGGCGGGCCGCUCAACAACAUGGGGGGCUCUUACAAGUUCAUGGUGAAGCACGUACAACUCUGGAAGCUGCCCUUCCACGGCACAUCGCCAAGAUGGUCUGAUUCCGAUUAUACAGCACUGCGAUGCUACCUCUACUGAACACACGUGUAACUACAGUUGAAGGAUCACAAAUAUAUGGUCCAGUAAUGCACGGUAAAUCUGUAUCCAGGCAGAUUCAGUCCACCUCUUCACCACCGUGACCCACACCUACGACCUGGCUUGGUUGUGGUGCUAAUUCAGCAAUGCAAGUCUGAUCCCUUCAACUCUCAGGUGUCUUAUUCCACUACUUCAUGAUGAUGCUUGGCAGGGAGAGGGUUCAGAGUAGGGAUGGCGGGAGCGUUUGAGUUGUACUGGCAGUCCGCCAUCGGCAGGGCCGUCAUGGAGACGCUGGACGAGAUGGUCCUUAGCCCCGAUCAUGCCAUCAGCGUCCAAGUACAGUUCGAUCAGUUCAUGAGCACUGGACAACCAGCUCAAGAGCAAGGCCUUCUUCAAUGUACCAACCAUAAUGCCACGUCUCUUUUUUGUUCCACACAUUCAUCACUACACUGUACAUAUUCCAAAGGAAUAAUGCUGAAAUAACGUGUUGUUGCGACAUGUUAGUGUAACGGUACUAAUGCAGAUGAAUUUUUUGUAGGGAAGAUGCAGAUGACUUGUGUGCUUGAUUAUGGUUGGCUUGUGUGCUUAAUUAUGAAGUUAAUUACUCGGCCGCCACAGGGAAUUAUUCUUUUGGGAUCAUAUUUAUUCUCCGCAAAAAGUAAUCUCAACUUGCUUAAAGGCCACAUUUGGCAGUUGCUUAAACCUUCUGGACAAGACACACAGACAUACAACUAUGUGACAACUUAAUGCCUUUGGGAAUUUUGAUGGCUUUUCCUAACAAGAAAAUAUAACAAUAGCUGCGAAUGUUAAUUACUUAGUUUAUCAAAGGUAAAAUGUCUGCUACAUGACAAGUAUGUGGAUUGAUUUUAUGUGAACUGACUAAUUGGAUGGUUUGGUUCCUUGUGCUACGUUUUGAAAAAGAACAUACUUAUAUGUUCCACUGUAUUGAUAUCAUAUGGCGAAUUACAUAUUUGUUACUAGCUAAAGCUGAAGAAAUGUUUACGCAAAGAACAUUCAUUUUCACAUUGCCUGGCAUGCGUCUAGGUCAUUCUAUUUAUUACCAUUGCUGAAAGUUGUACUUCUCUGCAUGCCGAUAGUUUCAUUCGAAUAGCUCUUCCUAGAUUUUUCUUUAGUUCAUUCCAUCCAGUAGUUUGAUAGCUUUGUGAUUAUUUUGAGAAAAAAUGAUCUGUCUUGCAGACUAAAAACAAUCUCAUCCAGUAGUUUGAUAUUUUGGUCAUUAUUCCAAACUAAUUGAUCCAUGUAGCAGACUGAAAACAAUUAGAUGCUGAUGCAAUCAUGGUCUGAGAUUAUUAACGAGUGAGGACACGCAUAGGGUUGCUUCCUACUGGUACAUAACUAUUUUCUUUCUACAUGUACUAUGUUGAUUCUUCAGAGAUCUCGUCUUCAUGAGACUAGCGAAGGGGGUAUACGUUAGGAAGAAGGGGAGACGAGGAAUUAAUCAGAUAGUAUAUGGGCUGAAUAAUUUUGAACUAGCUACUAUUUCUAAAUGGAGUGCCAUGUUCAAAUAGAGGAAGUGAAGUUGUGGUGGGUUCUGAGCCAUGCUUCAGGAUAGGGGUGUACCAUAUUAUUUUUCUCCCGUUGCAAUGCACGGACUUUUUUGCUAGAAGAUCUCUUGCCCUUUUCUUUGUACGUAGUAAAUUUACACUCAAGCUUUGUUUAAAUAGAAGCGAAAUUGCUGUA
Molecule: long non-coding RNA, 2311 nt
Organism: Triticum dicoccoides
Lineage: Eukaryota; Viridiplantae; Streptophyta; Magnoliopsida; Poales; Poaceae
Exons: 5
Source: RefSeq, a predicted model, not a curated record